Corapipo altera (White-ruffed manakin) is the source of this 206-nucleotide long non-coding RNA. RefSeq lists it as uncharacterized. The record is from RefSeq and is a predicted model, not a curated record. The transcript has 3 exons. NCBI's taxonomy places the organism in Eukaryota, Metazoa, Chordata, Aves, Passeriformes, Pipridae.
GGAGAACUGGGAGGGAUGGGGGGAGGGGGAGAAGGAAGGGGAGAAAGAACAAAACAUGAUUCCAAUGGGAGGGAUCAAAAGGGCAAAUGGGGAGAAGUCAGCUAACAUGUGGGAACAAUGUCUAGACAAGGCAAUUCGUAUGGAAAGCCUGAAUGUUAAUCAGGCAUGCCCAGACGAUAUUAGCCAAAGCCAACAGAUCAGAAGAG